GACGAACGCUGGCGGCGUGCCUAAUACAUGCAAGUAGAACGCUGAAGGAGGAGCUUGCUUCUCUGGAUGAGUUGCGAACGGGUGAGUAACGCGUAGGUACCUGCCUGGUAGCGGGGGAUAACUAUUGGAAACGAUAGCUAAUACCGCAUAAUAGCAGUUGUUGCAUGACAACUGUUUGAAAGGUGCAAUUGCACCACUACCAGAUGGACCUGCGUUGUAUUAGCUAGUUGGUGGGGUAACGGCUCACCAAGGCGACGAUACAUAGCCGACCUGAGAGGGUGAUCGGCCACACUGGGACUGAGACACGGCCCAGACUCCUACGGGAGGCAGCAGUAGGGAAUCUUCGGCAAUGGACGGAAGUCUGACCGAGCAACGCCGCGUGAGUGAAGAAGGUUGUCGGAUCGUAAAGCUCUGUUGUAAGAGAAGAACGAGUGUGAGAGUGGAAAGUUCACACUGUGACGGUAUCUUACCAGAAAGAGACGGCUAACUACGUG
Molecule: ribosomal RNA, 494 nt
Filed under: uncultured bacterium
Lineage: Bacteria
Description: partial 16S ribosomal RNA
Rfam family: Bacterial small subunit ribosomal RNA
Source: RNAcentral